UACGGGGGGGCAAGCGUUGUUCGGAAUUACUGGGCGUAAAGGGCUCGUAGGCGGCCAACUAAGUCGGAUGUGAAAUCCCCAGGCUUAACCUGGGAACUGCAUCCGAUACUGGAUGGCUUGAAUCCGGGAGAGGGAUGCAGAAUUCCAGGUGUAGCGGUGAAAUGCGUAGAUAUCAAGAGGAACACCUGAGGUGAAGACGGGUUGCUGGGCUGACACUGACGCUGAGGCGCGAAAGCCAGGGGAGCAAACGGG
This 252-nucleotide ribosomal RNA is filed under the name uncultured bacterium. RNAcentral's name for it is "partial 16S ribosomal RNA". It matches the Rfam family "Bacterial small subunit ribosomal RNA", at positions 524 to 776 of the family's 1533-position model. The record is from RNAcentral.